This 533-nucleotide ribosomal RNA is filed under the name Malassezia furfur. Its description in RNAcentral is "LSU rRNA". It matches the Rfam family "Eukaryotic large subunit ribosomal RNA", at positions 100 to 609 of the family's 3401-position model. Lineage: Eukaryota; Fungi; Basidiomycota; Malasseziomycetes; Malasseziales; Malasseziaceae. The record is from RNAcentral.
GGGAAGAGCUCAAAUUUGAAAGCUGGUACCUUCGGUAUCCGCGUUGUAACCUCGAGACACGUUUUCCGUGCGGCGCUAUGGACAAGUUCCUUGGAACAGGACAUCGUAGAGGGUGAAAAUCCCGUACUUGCCAUGGAUGUACCGUGCUUUGCGAUACGUGCUCUAAGAGUCGAGUUGUUUGGGAUUGCAGCUCAAAAUGGGUGGUAGACUCCAUCUAAAGCUAAAUAUCGGGGAGAGACCGAUAGCGAACAAGUACCGUGAGGGAAAGAUGAAAAGCACUUUGGAAAGAGAGUUAAAAGUACGUGAAAUUGUCGAAAGGGAAGCGCUUGAAGUCAGCCAUGCCGCUCAGGACUCAGCCUGGCUUUUGCUUGGUGUAUUUCCUGGGUAGCAAGUCAGCAUUGGUUUGGAUCGUCGGAGAAGCAUAGUUGGAAUGUGGCGCCCUCGGGCGUGUUAUAGCCUUCUAUUGGAUACGACGAUCUGGACCAAGGAACGCAGCGCGCCUUAUGGCGGGUCUUCGGACACCUUCGCGCUUA